CCUACGGGGGGCUGCAGUGAGGAAUAUUGGUCAAUGGGCGCGAGCCUGAACCAGCCAAGUAGCGUGAAGGAUGACUGCCCUACGGGUUGUAAACUUCUUUUAUAAAGGAAUAAAGUGAGGCACGUGUGCCUUUUUGUAUGAACUUUAUGAAUAAGGAUCGGCUAACUCCGUGCCAGCAGCCGCUGUAAUACGGAGUCUCCGAGCGGUAUCCGGAUUUAUUGGGUUUAAAGGGAGCGUAGAUGGGUUGUUAAGUCAGCUGUGAAAGUUUGCGGCUCAACCGUAAAAUUGCAAUUGAUACUGGCAGUCUUGAGUACAGUUGCGGUAGGCGGAAUUCGUGUUGUAGCGG
RNAcentral lists this ribosomal RNA (346 nucleotides) under uncultured bacterium. RNAcentral's name for it is "partial 16S ribosomal RNA". It matches the Rfam family "Bacterial small subunit ribosomal RNA", at positions 338 to 681 of the family's 1533-position model. The record is from RNAcentral.